This is a long non-coding RNA of Cryptomeria japonica (Japanese cedar), 647 nucleotides long. RefSeq lists it as uncharacterized. The record is from RefSeq and is a predicted model, not a curated record. The transcript has 3 exons. NCBI's taxonomy places the organism in Eukaryota, Viridiplantae, Streptophyta, Pinopsida, Cupressales, Cupressaceae.
GUCUCCUUUGGCCCAUAAAAGGUUACAUUUUCCAGCCAAUUCAGCAAAUUUUGGGUAAAACAAAAGUUAGCCGUCAUCUCUUGCACAUUCCACACAAACAGUGAAAGCCCAAUUGCAAAAUAGCGCCCUCACACGGAAGGAAUCUGUUCCAACCAACUGUACAGUGUCUUAAAACACAUUCCACAUCAGAUUGCCCACCUCUAUUCUACAGCUCGCUCUUGCGGCUUCCUCUGCCAGAUUUAUAUAAACUUAUUGUGCUCUUCCACCAUUUCUGCUCGCCUAUCGGCGCACCGUUGCAGGCACUAAACCUGCAACUGCUAGUAGUAUUGAUUUUUAAGGACAAGUGGUCACAUCUGGGAUGUUAGUAUUGAGUUUUUUUUGGAACACCUGUGGUUUGUUACAUUGCCACCUCUUGCCAAUACACUCUUAUUAUCUUUGGUCAUAUUUUCAACAAUCAUAGCUUUGGAUAUCUUAAGGGUACAUAUUGCUCUUGUACGAAGAUGAAGGGAAUGUGUCGCUUUUUAGAGAUGACACAUGACCUAUUGGUUGAUAUGGGAUAGAUUUUUAGUUUUAUAUUUUUUCUUUUCAAAAUCAAACUAAGGUGUUGCAGUCUAUAAUGAGAAGAAGAAGAAGACAAUUUUAACGUU